This 88-nucleotide transfer RNA is filed under the name Botryobasidium botryosum FD-172 SS1. Its description in RNAcentral is "tRNA-Pro". Lineage: Eukaryota; Fungi; Basidiomycota; Agaricomycetes; Cantharellales; Botryobasidiaceae. The record is from RNAcentral.
GGUCCAAUGGUCUAGAGGUAUGAUUCACCCUUAGGGAGCGCAAGUUCUUAUCUGGGUGAGGUCCCGCGUUCGAUUCGCGGUUGGACCC